GAUACGGUAGGUCGAGCGAAACCUAGGCGAGGCCGCGUCCAGAUCUGCGUCCGGCGAGCAAGACAUCGCAGGGCGCGCGACGGCACAGCGCAGCAGCGGCUCUCGCGAGGCGUCCCGGCGACCUAGACAACGCGGAGCGUAGGGCGUCUCGGCAAGCAGUCCGAGCAAGACAGCAUGGAGCGCGGCGGCAGCCCGGCCUGCGGCUCCCGCGGGGCGCGGCGCGGCAGCGGCGGCCCGGCCUGCAGCAGCACGCCGGACAGGCAUCCCCGGCAGGUACUGUAGACCGCGAUUCACGCAUUUCCAGUUGCCAAGAAGUCAUGGCAGCGUCAGAUUGGCUUCCUGUUGGGUGAGUUUUCAUUUUUCUUCUCUUCUUCCACUUGUUCUUGGAGAUCUCUUGUUCUUGUGCUUGGAUAUGGUGCUAGAAACGUUAAAAUCCAAUGUAGCAGCAUAUAUUUGAUGGUUCAUUCAUUAACAGGAUGGACCCUAAGUCAAGUUAUUUGCUAAUAAUCAGACUUACUGGUAAUCCUAAAAAGCAUAGAAAGAAUUUUCAUACUUUGAAUGCAGCAAGGUUGUAGAUUCCGAUUUAUGCAAUUUCAAGGAUCUUGUUCAAGAAAUUGUUGAUCAGUACCCGCAUAGAUACAAUGAGAUAAUGCAUGUUUUUUACUAUGAUGUUGCCCAAAAAAACCUUCCCACAAAUUAAAACAGACCAAGAACUCCUGAAAAUGUUUAGCAAACAUGUUGACAGCAAGAUAGUGCUCAUGACCAUUACAUACACUGAGCCCACCGAUGUUGUCGCGGUCCUAGAGUGGUGCUACACUGAAGAAGAUAUCCCACGCAUACCUUCUUUGGCUUGUCCAUCUCUACCACCAGUGAGCCAAAUAACCGAACCUAUAACAAAGCUUCCCACACAGCCUUGUACAAGUGAACCUAGCACAUAUAACAAUGACGAUGAUGGUUAUUUGGCAAAUCCUGAACCCCAUAAGGAACAUGUUGGUGUUGACGAGGAAGGCUUUUACUUGACUGUUGAAAAAAUUGCGAGUGAAGAGAGUGACUCUGAGUCUGAUUCUGAAUCUGAUGAAGAGUACAAUGAAGAAGAUGUGUAAGUUGGGAAAGAUCAUGUACCCCCUAUGCCUAUUGUUUGUUAUGACAGAAAUGACCCUCCAAUGAGUGUAGGCAACAUAUAUCCCAACAUGCGAGAAUUUAAGUUGGCAUUAAAUCAACAUGAUAUCAAAUCUGAAUUUGAGUAUAAUAUUGAAAAGAGUGACCCAGGGAGAGUGAGGGCAUAUUGUUCAAGGAAGAAGGAAGAAGGGUGUAGAUGGAGGUUGCAUGCUUCUAUAAUGAGGGACAAUACAACAUUAAAGGUAAGGAAGAAUCCACAUCAACAUACGUGCUCUAGUGCAAGAAGUAAGGUCGUCAAGAAUGCAACCAAAUUUUGGGUUUGUGAACAAGUCAAGGACUGGCUCAUGGGUGCAAUGGAGGAUAAAGGACAAGCAUAAGAUAGAUGUGAAUUACAAGAGAGUCUAUGCGAGUAUGCUCCUUGCCCAAACACAACUAUUUAGUAGUUGGGAUAGCAGCUUAAAUAACUUAUAUAGAUUUAAGGAAGAGGUAGAAAGAUGCUGCCCAGGUAGUUUUGUAGUGAUUGAUCAUCACACAGUAGCUGAGAAAAUCAGAUUCAAUAGAUUGUUCUUUGCUUUGAAACCAUGCAUAGACGGUUUUCUCAAAGGAUAUAGACCAUACUUGGCAGUGGACAACACAUUUUUAUUGAGAAAGUUUAGGGGACAACUAGCAUGUGUAGUAGCUGUAGAUGGACACAAUUGGAUGUACCUUGUUGGUUUUGGAGUGAUUGACUCAGAAACCAAUGAAAACUAGAUAUGGUUUAUGGAGAGACUUAGAGAUGCUAUUGGAACAGCAGAAGGGUUAGCUAUAUGUACAGAUGCUGGACAAGGGGUGAUGGCAGGAGUGAAGGAAGUAUUCCCAACUGCAGAACAUAGGGAAUGCAUGCUACAUUUGAUGAUGAACUUCAAAAAAGGUAUAGUGGCAAGAUAUUUGAUGACCAUCUUUGGGCAGCAGCUUAUUCAUGGAGCCCAUAUUUCUUUGAGAAACAUUGGAAAGCAAUGGAUGAGGCUAAACCUGUAGCAAUGAAUUACAUAAAGGAAUGUCAUACUAGGAUAUGGUCAAGAAGCCAAUUCUGCACCAUUUGCAAGGUUGAUUACGUAACCAUUAAUUUGGCAGAGUGUUUCAACAAUUGGGUUAAGAAGUACAAGGGGUUGAAUUUAGAUGACUUGAUGGACAAGAUCAGGCAACUUAUUAUGGACAAGUGGGAUGUUAGAAGAACAAUCUCUCAAAAGAUUGGAGGGAUAAUUCUGCCACACAUCGUGAAGGAUUUAAAGGAGCAGAGCUUUAACUUGGAUAUGGAAGUGCAGAGGAGUGAGGAUAUUCUUGGUGAGGUGUCUGUAAAGGGUGGUAGUGGCUUCAAAUGUGUAGUAAACCUAGCUGAACAAACUUGUACUUGUAGAAAAUGGCAAGUCUCAGGCAUUCCUUGCAAACAUGCUAUUGCAUUCAUCACAUCUCUUAGGGAACCAUUGGAGAAAUAUGUUGACAUGUAUUACUCGGUUGAGAAAUUAAGAGCAGCAUAUUAGACUUUAAUCCCUGCCAUGCCUGACAAGGACCAGUGGCCUGAAUCUAAUCAUGGUUUCUUCAUGCACCCACCACUUCUAAAAUCUACAGCUGGAAGAAGACAUACUCAGCGGUUCAAGAGUUGUACAGAGGCUGGUGGCAGCACUACAAGAAAGAAGGGGUCACACCAGUGCCCUAUUUGCAAGGGAUAUGGCCAUAGGUGGUAUAACUGUAAGAAUGGUGACCCAGAUGACAUAGCGGCUAUGCUAGCUGAGAAAGGUAUCCUAUGUUGUCUUUGGGUACAACAACAACAACAACUACCACCUCUAUGCCUACAAAAGACAAGAAGAAGGCUAAAGGGAAGGCAAAGGCACAAGGGAAGACAAGGAAGAACAAAGUUUCAGUGGCACCUGAUAGUCCAGCAAUGUCUACAAGAAGCAGAACUCCUCAAAGGCAAAGCCAUGCUGCCCACACAAGGAGCAAGAGAAAGCUUCCAGACUUGAAUCUGUAGUUGGUCCAUAUCACUUUGAGAUCCCUAUCACUUUUGUAUGGCGUGCAUUGUGCAUGUGUUAUUUUGCUUGAUAAUGUAUCUAGUAUGUUCUGGAGAUCUCUAGGUUCUGUGAGGGCACUUGUAGCUUGGGUCCACCAGUAUGACCUAUAUGGUCUGUGAACAAAUGAGAUCUAUAUUCUGUAUGGUGUGUGGUCUGUGAACAAAGGGGUAUUUUGGUCUGUGAACAAAUGUUUACCUGUUGUUUAACUGCUUAUGGAUGGUAAUGUCAUUCAAGGGAUCAAAAAUUAAAAUU
Molecule: long non-coding RNA, 3419 nt
Organism: Zea mays
Lineage: Eukaryota; Viridiplantae; Streptophyta; Magnoliopsida; Poales; Poaceae
Exons: 3
Source: RefSeq, a predicted model, not a curated record